This is a long non-coding RNA of Papaver somniferum (opium poppy), 1932 nucleotides long. RefSeq lists it as uncharacterized. Lineage: Eukaryota; Viridiplantae; Streptophyta; Magnoliopsida; Ranunculales; Papaveraceae. The record is from RefSeq and is a predicted model, not a curated record. The transcript is spliced from 2 exons.
UGAGAGGGUUUGGCAACGGAUUUGAAGUAAAGAAUGAAGACAAAUGGGUGUGAGUUGAAAUUUGAAUAUGGAAGCAGUUAGGUGAUGUCGACACCAACUAGGAUGAAUUUGAGAAGUUCUGUUGUUGAGGAGAGAUGAGAUGAUGAUUAAAUGGGGGUAGAUUCAUGGCUGCAAACUGAGAAUUAGAAGAUAAGAAAGUUGGGGUUUAGGUUGUUUUUCGAGUGUUUGGAGUAUUGAGGUCGAAUCCAAAAGAACAAGAAAUUAGGGUUCCUUUCUUAUGUUCUUCCCCAAAUUCAUUCUACUACCUUUUGAUUUGAAGCUGAAAAAAAAGAAAGAGUAGGUGUUGUCGUUCAAAUUGCAGGUGAACUUAAGCUGCAACUGGUGGUGAGCUGCUGCUGUAAGUCGUGAAGCAGAUGAAGAAGGAAUUUGAUCUCAGAUGAAUGGUGCUGCUUUGAGGUUUACAUGGGUUUGCUGAGAUGGUAUGGAUUGGUUUGAAGUCUGAGAAAUUAGAGAUUAGGAAAGAAGGAGAGGAUACACAGAGAAGUAGGAAUUGGUGCAGAUGGUGUUCUUGCUGGUGACUGGAAUUGGAACUCAGAUGUUGUUGUUGCUGGUGCUCAUUGCAAAUUGAGAAGUGCGGGAUGGGAGCUUUCGCUGCGAGGGAGAGUGCGCUGCAACUGUUGAUUGAAGCUAAGAAAGAAACACAGAAGUGAUGCUGUUAUGGCAGAGCUGAAGAACAUUGAACUGAAGUACUGAGAAGGAAGAAUCUGCAAGUGUUGCAGCUGUGCAGGGAGAAUGGCAACAGGGAAAUGGUAGUGUUGAUGUUGCAGUUGAAACUGGGGAGCUGGUGCUGUGUCCCAUUGAUCAAAUACAUAGAGGGUAUGAACUGAAGUAGAUGUAUGUUAAGCUGUGCAACUGAGCUGGGUAUUUCAUGUGGUGAUUAUAAGGGUUUACAUCAUGUGUGAUGUUGGUGGAUUGAGAAUGAAGAAUGAGUUACAAUGAGUUAGAAGAGAAAUUGAUGCUAAGCAGACAAGAAAAUGGGUUAGGCUGUUGUGGGUAACCUGUAUUGGAGAAAGCUGCAAUUGAAGUUGUGUACUGGUAUUGAGUGAUACAAUGGUGGUCAUGGACUUCAAAAUAAGAAGUGGAGAAUGGUUGAUGUUGUUAGUCUCAAAUUCCAGGUGAUGGUGGUUAUAACUGAUGGUACUGGAGGAUGGAAGAGAGAGCUGCAGAGACCGUAAAUAGGGGCAAUAGCUGGUGUUAUGCGCAGUGCAGGCCAUAGCUGGAAUCGGAACUGCAGAAUAUUAGCCCGAUGUGUGAAGAAGCUGAGUGUUGCAGGGAGCUUGAACUGAGUUGUGGAUAUGCUGGUGUCAGUUGGCUGAACUGGAGGUGCUGCGAGCCAUGGAUCGAUGGUGUUGUUAUUGAAUUGGUGGUGCCUGCAGCUGAGUACAGGGAAAGAACAAGCUUCAGUGAAGGAAUUGAAUGAAUGGGAAUGUUAGAUGAAUGUGUAGGAAACAUUGCAGAGGAGGACUCGAUGGGAAAGGCCUGGAUUUGGCCUGGGAUCGGUCAGAUACAGGGGGAACUCGGUAAGAGUUCCGUUUCAGAGAGUUGACGCAGAUGAUCCAGUAGCUGACUCAUGUGGACUUAGGGUGGGCUUCUACAGUAACUGAUGAGGGCCCAUGCGGCUGUUGGGCUCUACUUCACGGCCAGGCUUGGCUAGUUUUGGCAACAAAUUGGCAGGGGAUGGAAUUUGACUACUGGGACACCUAUAAAAGAGAAAAGUUUUCUCAUUAUUAUAUUAUCUUCUCUUCUAUCUUUGCCUAGGGUUUAGAAACAUGAUAGGUUUUCUUUUCCUUUUUGUUAUGAAUUUCACUCACAUGUUUAAAUAAUUCUCUUUUGGUUAAGGAAUAAGUUGGAGUUCCAACCAUGAUAUUUAUG